RNAcentral lists this ribosomal RNA (421 nucleotides) under uncultured eukaryote. RNAcentral's name for it is "bacterial SSU rRNA". It matches the Rfam family "Eukaryotic small subunit ribosomal RNA", at positions 592 to 1018 of the family's 1831-position model. The record is from RNAcentral.
CAAUAGCGUAUAUUAAAGUUGUUGCGGUUAAAAGCUCGUAGUUGGAUUUCUGUUGAGGAUGGACGGUCCGCACUAAGUGCGUGUAUCUGUUACAGCCUCGGCAUCCUCUAGGAGAACGGCGCUGUGAUUCAUUUCAUGGUCCGGAAUUCUAGACUUUUACUUUGAGGAAAUUAGAGUGUUCAAAGCAGGCAACCGCUCUGAAUACAUUAGCAUGGAAUAACGCUAUAGGACUCUGGUCCUAUUGUGUUGGUCUUCGGGACCGGAGUAAUGAUUAAGAGGGACAGUUGGGGGCAUUCGUAUUUCAUUGUCAGAGGUGAAAUUCUUGGAUUUAUGAAAGACGAACUUCUGCGAAAGCAUUUGCCAAGGAUGUUUUCAUUAAUCAAGAACGAAAGUUGGGGGCUCGAAGAUGAUCAGAUACCGU